RNAcentral lists this ribosomal RNA (559 nucleotides) under uncultured bacterium. Its description in RNAcentral is "bacterial SSU rRNA". It matches the Rfam family "Bacterial small subunit ribosomal RNA", at positions 119 to 674 of the family's 1533-position model. The record is from RNAcentral.
CGGAACGUGCCCGAUCGUGGGGGAUAACGGAGCGAAAGCUUUGCUAAUACCGCAUACGAUCUACGGAUGAAAGCAGGGGACCGCAAGGCUUUGCGCGGACGGAGCGGCCGAUGGCAGAUUAGGUAGUUGGUGGGAUAAAAGCUUACCAAGCCGACGAUCUGUAGCUGGUCUGAGAGGACGACCAGCCACACUGGGACUGAGACACGGCCCAGACUCCUACGGGAGGCAGCAGUGGGGAAUUUUGGACAAUGGGCGAAAGCCUGAUUCAGCCAUGCCGCGUGCAGGAUGAAGGCCUUCGGGUUGUAAACUGCUUUUGUACGGAACGAAAAGCCUCUUUCUAAUAAAGAGAGGUCAUGACGGUACCGUAAGAAUAAGCACCGGCUAACUACGUGCCAGCAGCCGCGGUAAUACGUAGGGUGCAAGCGUUAAUCGGAAUUACUGGGCGUAAAGCGUGCGCAGGCGGUGAUGUAAGACAGAUGUGAAAUCCCCGGGCUCAACCUGGGAACUGCAUUUGUGACUGCAUCGCUGGAGUGCGGCAGAGGGGGAUGGAAUUCCGCGU